This 19587-nucleotide long non-coding RNA is filed under the name Cucumis sativus (cucumber). RNAcentral's name for it is "long non-coding RNA (CSAT_LNC000848)". Lineage: Eukaryota; Viridiplantae; Streptophyta; Magnoliopsida; Cucurbitales; Cucurbitaceae. The record is from RNAcentral.
AACUUUAGUUUUAUUUCAUAGCAUUACCAAACAUGAAAAUAAAAAGAUGAACUAGACAUGUAAUAUAGUUUAGUGGUUAAGAUGGAUAUGUAUAUGCACCUUCAACUUCAAGGUCAAAGGUCUUUCAAUCCCCACCUCUCGACUUUAUUGUAAACAUAGGUGCAUAAGAUAGAAAAUAAAGUGUUACAACUUCUUAUUUGUUUUUUCAUAUGUUGAAGUUGUAGAGUAAAUUAGUCACGAUCGAGGGCAUACAUUAUAUGGAUAACCAAGCUUUCGGCCGCAACCGUUAACAAUUAGAUUGAGAUCAAUGGGAAUGCGUAAAAGGAUGAGGCCUCCAAUUUUCAAUUUAAGGGCAGUGCAAAGACAAACCCUAGCUUCAAGAUCCACUAGCCCUUCAAUCAAGCUACAACAUUGAGGGUAGCUUUGGUUUGGUUGGCUGUUAAGAACUAGGUUAACAAGGUUUAACACAUUUGCACAUGCCUCUAUGUUCAGGGUAUUUCUAGGGCAAGUGACCCCAUUGUUGGUAGGUGGGGGUGGGGUUAGGCUUGGUGGGGGUGGGGUUAGGCUUGGUGGGGGUGGGGUUAUGGUUGAUGGGGGUGGGGUAAGGCUUGGUGGGUGUACAGGCUGGUAAGAAGUGACAAGAGAAAAGAAGAGAAGGUUUAGAAGAAAGAAGAUAGCUAGUGGAGAGGUUUUGUUGAAGGAAUACAUUAUUUUUUAAUGAAGUAAAGAGUUUCUUCAAACAAGGAUGGAGAAAAAAGUGUAGCGAUGGAAGGGUUUUUAUAUUGUUAAUUGUGCCAUAGAUAAGAUGAUGAGUUGUAAUUUAAUUAAUACCAACUUCAAUGCUCAUCUUAAAAUUCAACUACGAUCAAAAUGUUGGAUGUAUUAUUCAACUUUGUUUGAUACGUCUCUCUAUAAUACUACCAAUUUUGUUGUUUAAUGUACUAUCUCUUCCAAUUUUCUUUUAUUUUAUCUAGUUGAAAUAUUAUGGUGCACUUACUAAUUCACAGUGUAUUUUUGUCUAAAUAUUUGUAUAUAAUUAGUCUUUUGUUUUUUUUGUGUUGUGUGAUAUAUUUACAUGUUGUUUUGGCUUUAUUUGAUUACGCUUUCAUUUUCUAAAUUUAUGUACGUUCCUUCUCAAUUUUGUUCCGCUGAGUGUUCAACUUUUUCAAAAUAAUGUUUUAAUUAUUGCUAAAAUGGUUUUCGAAUCUUCAUUUGAUUUUUGAAAUAUUGGUAGCAAUUAAGCAAAUAAGGAUGUAUAGUGGAAACUUACAAGUGUACAUAAGCUGAGUUUUAAAAAAUAAUUAAAUAGUUAUUCAAUAGAGUUAAUGAGAUAGUACGGAUUUCUUAAAAAUUAAAAUUGUUAAUUAUUAGACUAAACAAGAAGAAAAAAUAUUAACUACGCUUUCUAAUAAAAUUUAUGUAAGAAAAAAUGGUUGGCUUUCUUUGACUACGCUUGUGUGUUUUGAAUUUACGCUUUCUAAUAAAAUUUAUGGAUGUUUCCUCUCAAAUUUCUUUCUUUGGUUUUCACAUUGGCUUUUCUCAAAAAGCAUUUGAAUAUUGUGGAUCAAAUUUUUUUAAAAUUUAAUAUAUCUAAUGAGUCUUUUACCAAAUAUAACGAAUCAGUCAAAUAUUUUGAAAAUUUUAAUUAUAUGGCAAAAAAAAUUUAGAAAAAGUAGUUCAUACCACGUCUUUUUUGCAUAUUGCAAAUAUGACAAAUAUGAUAACUAAUUAAAUAUAUCAAAGGGCAUGACUAUCAUAGGGCUAUCCACUUUUAAAUUUGUUACUUUUGCAAUUUUGAAGAUGUAGUGACAUGAAUCCUUUUAUCAUAAUUUUUUUUGCUAUUUUUGUAAACACCCCAAAUAUUUAUACUAUAUAGAACAAUUUUGACAACGUAAAAGGUCCACAAGCUCACAAUGAAAAAUACCAAAAAUACCCUGCGAUUAAUUGACACCCAACCGACGUAAUAUAUUUUUGGUAAACGAUCAUUUAGAUUUGACUAUUCUUUUUUACAGAAUUGUUUCGAUCUUUUUUCAAGAUUCUUUGCACACAAUCGUUUAGAUUUGGUUAGUUUUGCUACACGGUCGUUUAUAUUUAAUCGUUUAAAUUUGGGUAGUCAUAUCUAAACUAUUUUUUAAAAAAAAAUUUUGUACACGAUCGUUUCUAUUUGGUAUACGAUCAUUUGGAUUAAUUUUUUAAAUUUGGGUAGUCAAAUUUCAAUAAUUUUUUUUCAUGAAAUUUUGGUACACAAUCGUUUAGAUUUGGUAGACGAUCGUUUCAAUUUGGCUAUUUUUUCUUACACGUUUAAAUUUGGCUAUCCACUUAUAAACAACUUUUUUAGAAUUCUUUGGUACACGAUCGUUUAGAUUUUGCUAUCUAAUAUUCCAACGACUUUUUUUCACAAUAUCUAGAAUCAAAUAACAGUUUGGAAAAAAAAUAAAACAAAACUUACGAAAGAAAAGAAAAAUAUGAUAGAAAGGAAAAUAAAAAUUAUGUUGAAAAAAAAGGAUGACAAGGAAGGGUAUAAAUAUUUAAAAAAAAAUCCAUAAGAAAAGAGAAGAUGAUGAAAAAAAAAUUACAUAGAGGAAAAGAAGAAAUAGCAAACGUGGAAUAUUUUUAAAAAAUGACAAGCUUCGUGGAUUUUUUCAUUUUGUUAUAUAGAUCGUAAAUAUUUUGUUGGUUUGUUAUAUUUAUGAAAAUUAACCUGUAUUUAAAUAUCUUAAUUUGAUUUAUAAAACAUUAGUAGAAAACAUAUAAUACAAAAUAAUAGAGAUAGUAAGAUUGUAUGAAUUUUUUAACAGGCUCGUUGUAAAAUGAACAAAAUAAAUUCUAAAUAUAUUAAGUAAUUAUAAUAGAUAAUUAUUUUAGGAUUAAUAAUUAAGGAUGUAGUAUCAUUCUUUAGAAAAAUGUAAAUAUAACAAAGUUUAUCGGUGAUAAACUUUGACAAAUUUUGCUAUAUCUGUAAUUUUUUUAAAUGUUGCUUGAUGUAUGAACAGGUUUCGUCGUUCAAACUCAUGCCAAAUAAUAAAUCUAAUCACACACCAAGAACUACUCUUAGUGGCAAAGUUCGAGUCGAACUUAGAGAGCAUAUUGACUUCUCAAACAAAUUAGUUCUCACCCUGUGACCGAGGGAGGGUUUAAGUAGAAAUUGAUGCAAGACAGUAAAUUGCAUAAAACGAAGGUGAAACUUGAUAAAAUCCAAUGACUAAAGAAUCUAGCUUCGGUUAUUACAACUUCAACCUAAUUAUCUAAAUAAUUUAUUAUAUGUAAUCUUCACUUAACCAAUUUAAUUAAUUGGAAAAAAGGCUAGUUAAUUUGUCCUAAGGUUUUAAUUGUUCUAACCCAAUGUGAUUCAACAUGCAAUACUGAAUUUUCCAAAGAGCAUUAAGUUUCUUUAGACAGAGUGUCUAAUUUUCCAAGGUCUAAUUAACAUUAAAUAAUAGGUUCAAAUUCUAGUUUGGUUAGAAGCACUAUGCAUCAAAAUAGAUAUUUACAUGCUAACCUAACCUAACCUAUUGCUUCUAACCAAUUCUUAUCUAAUUGCCAUGAGUAAAAGAAAUUAGUGCAAAUAUAAUUUACACAUUUCUCACCAUUCAACAUGCAACAAAAUAUCAAUUAAAUUCCGAAUUGAACCAAGGAUUAUAAUAGAAACUAAGUUUCAGUUCUCAUGAAUUCUAUAGGACAAAGGGAGAAUCUAAGAACCCUAAGCUAGAGACGAGUACCUUAGCCUCUCAUCUAAAUGCCGGAUGAUGAGAAGAAGUUUGGGAACCAAAAGUACACGAAAGAAAGUAGAAAAUAGGGAGAAAAUUAAAAGGGUGGAGGUUGGCUAGAAAGUAAAUUAGGUUUCAAGUGGCGGUGGAACUUCUUUAACUCUUUUAUAAUAAACAUCUAGGUGCUGCGGCGCUCAAGUCUUCGCACACGUCGUUUCACAUUUUAUCUUCAGAGCACCGUGGUGUAGAGAUAUGUUCACAAAAUCUCCCACAUUCUGCCUUAUUGCAGCGCCACCUUAGGCGUUGUGGGGCACCAUGGGCCUACAAGGAAGAAUCCAAAUGGCUUCUUUUGCUUCAUCUUUCUCCUCAUAUUGCAAAACGGUUUGUCUUGAUUCACAUCGUUUAACUUCGUAUUGGUCCAAAUUAGCUCCAAAAUAACAUUAACUUCAAAUUACACCUAUGAAUUGCUCAAAACCUAUACCACAGUCAAAUAAGAUUGUAAAAUCAUGGAACGAGCUCAAAUUAAACGAAAAUAAUGGAUAAAUAUUUCAUACGCUAUCAUUGCUAUAUAUACUAAUAUUUUGAAUCUAAUUGCUAUAUUCACGAUUAUUCUUAUAUAUUAGGUUCGUAAUAAAAACUUUUUAGUUUUGCGAAAAUAGCAAAAGACCAAGCUCAACCCGCAGUUGAAAACAUCAAAUGUAAAAAUGUAUAGUUAUACGUGAUACAAAUUUGAUAUACACUUGAUAUAUUUAAUACACCUGUGCAUUUGAUACUAAUAUAGUUUGAUGCACUUAAUAUACUUGAUACUUCUUAAAGGUUCAAACUGCAAGACACUUUCCAAUAUAUGAUUAUUGUUAGAUUCACGAUACACUUGAAAUGUUAAUUUUUUUAUCUGUAGAAAAUUUGAUAUAUUUUUUUUAUUGAUGUAUUAUAAAUUACCAUCAGUGUACUAUAAUCUUUUAUAUACUAAAAAUAUGGAUAGGUUAGAAAAUUAAAGAAGAAAAAAAAUAUUGAAAACUAAAAUUUGCUUAAGAAAAAAGAGAUGUGUUGAAAUAUAAAAUAAAAUAAAAAACAACUAUUGGAAGUUUUAUCUAUAUAUACAAAUAUAUAGAACAAAAGGGAAAAGGUGGUUCAAAUUAAUGAAACAAAAUUAAAAAGAUGCUUUUUCCAUAUAAACAAGAAUGCAACAAAUUGAAAUUUUAAAAAUAGUUUAUUAUUAUUUUUUUAAAAAAAGAUACCAUGGGAAGAUAAGCCCAUAACAAGGUACCCAAAGAGUUAUACAGAAGCAUGGAUAUUUAAAUGAAUCGAACUGACAUUAUAGUUAACGAAGAGCUUGAAUCUAAUAAACAAAUGUCAUGUUGAGAGCUUGAACAUCAUAUAGUCCAUUUUUCUGUGAUUUCUCUCCAGCCACAAUGACCAUAGAGUCACAGCAACAACGUUAAAAGCGAUAGUUCCUUUUCUGUCAUUAUUCUGAUUGUUAGAAAAAAUCUCUUUAUAGAGGGAUUUAACGUUGUCAUGAGUAUUGUACCAAUGUAACAGAUUUCUCCAUAGUUCUUGGGUGGUUUUGCUAGAAAUGAAAAUGUAAUCCAUGGUCUCCUAGUUGUUUUUACAGGGAGAGCACCAUUUGGGUUGAGGUACCAAUUUGGAAGCGUCUUUAUAACUUUGAUGCACCAAUUUGGGUUUAGGUACCAAUGUGGGUUGGGUCCAUGGUCUCCAAAAUUAGUUUAUUAUUAGAAUACAAAAGGACAAAAAUUAUAACUAACAUGUUUCAUAUGGCAUAUAUAUGUUUGUCUUUUAGGCUUUUGUUGGUAGAUGCAACUAGAUAAAUUAAACUAAUUAUUAACCAAAUCUUUUAAGUCUUUAGACAAUUAAUUGCCACUAAAUGAGGAUUUUUUUGAGUGGUUGGAUUACGUAAGUACUUUAAUUAAAUCCAUUAAUAACUCUUUUACAAGUCAAAUGUUUGAAUAGUAAUCCAAUAUUAAAUUCAUAAUUUUCUAAAAAUGAACAUUCUUAAUCGAGUUGAUAAACACUUUUUUAAUCAAUAAAAUAUAUAGUUGGACAAUAUACAUGCAUCUAAAUCAGAGAGAAUACGAAAAAAAAACAAAAGUUUAACGAUAAUUCAUAUGAAAGGAAAUAAAAGUAGCUACUAACAAUGACCAUGGUAAUUUAUCUUAUAUAUCGAACCUACUUUUCUUUUUAAAAAACUACAAGUGUUACUUAUGCAUGCUAAAAUUCUAUGGCACCACAAUGAUUUCAAUUAUGCACCUAUGUGUCACACAAACACAUAAUGUGAUCAUCAAAACAUGCAUGAUCAGGAUAAAGUAAAAUCGCAUGUGUACACCAAUAAAAUGUUUCUUAUCGCACCACAACGAUUUUAAACACGAUACAAAUAUGAACAAAGCAAAAUUAGUGGAACAUGCAUGCAUGCAUGUCUAUCAAAAUUGAUUGACCAAAAGUUUUCAAGACUUUCGAUCAAACCAAAUUAAUUGUUCCGUUUCUCACAAAUCUCAUAGUGAUGGGUCGAUCCGCAUAGAACCAACUAAUUUUUGUUUAAGAACUACUUGUUGCAAGGUAACCAACAGAGGGAGGGUGUGGAUUGCUGAAUGGGAACAAAUGAAGACUAAAUCAAAGGACAAUGCAAGAACACAAAUCUAAUGAUGGUGGUGAUGAUACUAACCAAAUGAAACAAAACACGUAGCUAGCUUGAGAUUUAUUUCGAUUUACUUUUAAUUAACUCUCAAUCAUUGAUUUGGCAUUCAUAUUGUACCCUUAGCAAACAAUAAACAAUUUCUUAGCUAACCACGUCCAGAGAAACUAGAGUAGUGUCCUAAGAUUCAAAUCAAUUUUUAUGUUUAGAUGAAGAAUCCUAAACAUGCAAACCAAUAAGCAUUAACGUUUGAGGCUAAAAACUAAGUAGAUCAAACACAUUUUGAAAUUGCCUAAUUGAAUGCUCAUAUGAAUUCAAUCCUAAGUUAAUUAGACAAAUGUCAUUAGAUUGGAAUAGUCUAAUUGAUGAACAGUUCUAACUUAACUUUUGAUAUCACAUGAUCUUCGACAAUUACGGAUUAAAUUAAACCUUUAACAAUUUAUUAAAUACACAUAGCUAAUUUCAGUAUUCCCAAAAUACCAUUCAAUCUCAAAACAAAAUCAAGGAAAUGAAUUCAAUUAUUCAAAUAGUUUCCAAAAGACAAAUAUUCAAAAGCUCAAGAAUGUAAAUCAAAAGGUGAAACUAAAAGCUCGAGCUAGAUAUAAUUAGUACAUUAACCUAGAUACAUCGUCAAAAAACAUGAAAAAUAAUCAAAAGAGUUCAAAUCAAGGGAACAAAAUAAUGUGUUUUUUUCUCUAAAGUGUCUCUAAGUUUGUGUCUCCAGGUGUGUGGAAUAAGGGUUGGCAACUAGGAUAAUAACCCAGAAAAAUAUAACGGUGUCACAAUGCGCAUAUAAUCUUCCUCUCAAGUUUGGAGCGCCAUGGCGCCCAAGGACAGUGCCACGUGCACGAAAAGAGGCCUUUUUGUCUUUCAACGCUGUGCCAAUGCCCAAAAUUAGGGCUCUUAGCCUUUUAGUGUUGAGACUAAAAUUUUCGAACAACAAAUCAUUGUGAAUUGGUUAACGCUCUAAAUCUUCAAUAACGACUCUCAUUUAGUUCUGAACUAAACAUUAAGGUCAAGAAUUAUCUGAAUUGAUCUCAACACCUACAAAGCCACAUCAUGCGAAAGUAAAAUUAUGAAAUGAUCUUGAUAUUAGUAGAAUAGAAAAGAUAGCUUAUUUUGAAAGCUAUCACAAAUAUAUCAGUAAUCGAUAAUAUCAAAUAACAUUUUUUCAUAACCACCAAGUCUUAAAGCCUUUUAUCGAAGGAGCCACUUAGCUCAAAUGGAAGUUCGAUAAACAACCCAUAUAUAAUUAUCAACGCAAACUCUUGCUUGGGACACACUAUAACAAUUUUGCACACUAAAUGAUCCCUAGACCAACUAUUAAUCUUGAACCCAAAAGAAAAAGAAAUCCAACUUAGUCCAAAUAAUUAACUGCAAAUUUUUACAAAUUAAAUAUGCCUAGCAAAUUAACUAUUAAAAUUGAAUAGAUAACAAAAGAAGCCACCUGUAACACUUUCUUUUUUUUCAUAUUACAAAUAUGAUAAGUAAUUAGAUAUAUCAAAUGACUAUUCUCUUUUAAAUUUGUUUUUUUAGCAAUUUAGAAAAUGUAUUGACAUUUUAAGUUAAUUAAUAGAAAAUUAAACAAUAGAAUAAACGGAACAUUAUUAAUGAAGCUCACUAAUAGAAGUGUAUAAAUUUUGAAAUGAUUGGAGGCUAAAUCAUGUAAACUCAAAAUCUAUGAACAAAAGAGUACCUUUCUUCGUUUAAUCUACGUUGUAAAAUAUUGCUAACAAUGAGAGAACUUAAAAACUUUUUUGACUUGUUUUUGUUAAGGAUGUACACAUUUCUUAACAAGUUAAAUUUAUCAUCAAAUGGAUUCAAAUAUACUUGUAACUUGUGAUACCAACCAUUGUUUUAUGUAAAACUAAUAAAACAAUUACUAAGCAAGGAAAGUUGAAAUAAUGAGUUGUUUCGCCAUUAAUUGUUGAUUUCGUAAAGUAAGUAUUAAUAUCAUAUUAAAUGAAAGGUUCAAUCAGUCAACACAUAUGAAAAUUGUGGAAUGGCCUUUGCCUACGAUAAUAUGGAUUCGGGACUUGAUGGCAACAACCAUUCUCUGGCAUCUUUGCAACCAUGUAUGUCAUGCUAUAUCUACUUGUCUUAAACUACUUACAAAUAUAAGAUUAUUGCCACAGACUAAUUAGCAUUGAAUCCUUUCAAUGUACUCAGUCUUUCGAUUGAUGCUUCUUCUUCGAAGUAUAUUAGUGGAAUUUUUUACAUGAUUUGUGUUCUCACUUUACAUGUUUUCUUAGAAGAUUCUCAAAACAUCAUAAAAUUACUCUAUGUCAAGCACACUUAAUUUUAGAAUUCUUAUGAUUUAGUGGUUAAAAAAGAAUGCACACUUUGUUUGUAUAAGUAGUACUACCAAUCAACUCUUUUUAAGCUUCUCUUGAACAAGCUUUCAUGUUCUUCCUAUCUCUUAUGUAGAUGUAAAUUUGGAUCAUUCAUAUAUUUAAUUUCCGAUAAACUAAGGACAUUACAAAAAUUAAACAAUAGCACUUCAUCGAUCAUCCAAAAUCGUAAACUUGGGCAAUUGGCAUAUUUAGGCCCUUUCAAGUUUUGAUUUGGAAAAUAGACCUAGUUAGAAAAGAAAAAAACUUGGGUACGUGCAUCCUCCCAUCUCUCUCGACCAUAUAAAAUUAAAUUAUCUAAUACUUUUUAGAAAUAUUUUAUUUUUGUAUGAUGAAGACAUAUAAAAAAGCACUUGAGAUAGAUACAUCUUCACUUUAUUUUUACCCUUCUUUUCUCAUUAAGUACAUAAAAAGGCUAUUCUACCGUAUACUUUAUUAUUGUCAAACCUUCAAAAACUUUUUUCUCGUUCUUCUUUUUUCCAACCUAUCACGUCCUUUUCAAUUUUUUUUUUUCAACUUUUCCAUUUUUAUCUAUCAAGUUUCAUCAAAUUUAAUUUUGAUUGCCUUCGACGAAUUUGACAUAUUUGGGGCUGGGAAGAGGAAGAGAGGGUGGAUCAAAGUGGAGUUGGAGUGAAUAUUUGACAAUUUUAUUGAUGAUAUUUUUUAUGUUUUUUAUUGUAACUCAACAACAAGAAGAAUUAAUAUUUCAACAUUUAGCCUUUUGGUUGAAAGUAUUUUUGUUAUCAAGUUUGUUAUAAUAUUGUUGUUUGUAUGCUUAACUGAUAUUAUAUCUUAUAGUAUAUCAUGUCUGUUUGAGUCUCCGAAUAAAAUGGUCUAUUAUCACUCAUAUAUAAUUCUAAAUAUUUCUAUUAGGGUAGAAUAAUCGGCUAAUUUGAUCCAAAUUAUUUAACAAAGAUGAAAUCCAAUAUUAAAUUUAGUUGACUGAAAUUAACCUCUUAUGAAAAUGCAUUAACAAAGGUGGCUACAAGACAGAAAAUGAUCAGUUUAUCACUAUAUCCAAACUUUAAACAAAUAUUAAAAUAAUUAAAUUAAUGAUAAUACUUUUAUCAAUAUCUAUCCUUAAUUUAAUAAGUUCUAAUGAUAGAUCGUCAAAAUCAACCAUUUCACGGCUCUCAUGUUUUUGUAUCUUUAAUAGGUUUUUUUUUUGUUUGAUAUUUUCUCUAGGAAAAAACUGACAUAUAAUAUUUGUUUAUAGUUGUUAGGAUAUUUUAUCAAAUAAAUUAUUCUUUUUAGGAAGCAAUAAUAUUUUACCAAUCCUUCCUAAUAUCUAGGAGUCGUGGUGUAAGUUUGUUUCCUUUUUAUAUGGAAAAGGUUAUCUGCAUAAAAGAUAUGAGGAGAUUUUAUAUAUGUGAUCUAUGAUGCAUAUGUGAUUUGACGAAGAAAUUAACAAUUCGGGUCAAGGUGAACGUUUAAUGGCUAUAUUGUAUUUAGCUUGAUAUUGAAGACUUCUUGUUGUGAUGUGAACUUUGAGAAGAUAAGAAAUAUACUCGAAGAGCAAUGAAUUGAGGGAUCAAUUCACAAAGUCAGGGAGAACCUGGACUAGUCUUAGAGGAGAUUUUGAUUAUCUUGAGGAGAGCCUGUGUUUAUAUUUUAGUUGUGAUUAUAACUACUUUAUGUAACUAGUGAAAUAAGUUUGAUGAGUCUCAAUAAUAUUUCUGAUGUGAGCAAACAAGCUCCUCAAAUGUAGGUUGUAUUUGCCGAACUGGAUUACCAAAGUACAUUGUGUUAUUUAUCUUUAGUGUGCUCUGGCUAAUCUUGUAGUUCAAUACUUGUGAUAUAGCUCAAGAGUAUUUAACCUUCUCACUUUUCAAGGAGUGUUUCCUCGAGAAGCAUGCGAAUUUGAAGCCCAUAUUUUAUUAAAAGAAUGUAUUUAAUAUAAAAGAUAUUCUUUUAAUUAGAAGUUUAUCUCAAGAUAUUAUUUUAAAUAAUAUAGAUUUGUUGGUUCAAAAUUUUAUCUUUCCUUCUUUCAUGGAAUAUGACCGUAUCUUGAGUUUCUAUAUAUUUCCUUCUAGUUGGCAUCUUGGAGUGAACGAGUAAGUGAAAAUGAGUUUUUGAUAAAGGAAAUCUAUAAAACUAGAAAAAUAAUAAUAAUAAUAGAACCAUGUCACUCCAUUAUAUAAAUGGUAAAAGUAGCAAAUUUAAAGGCUUAUAGCCCUCUGAUAGUCAUUGGAUAUCAUUAAUUACUUGUCAUCAUUUUCGCAAUAUGUAAAAAAACAUGUGCUAUGAGUAGUUUUUUUCUAAAUUGUUUUGUCAUCAAAUGUAAUUUUCAUUUUGGUAAUAUGUGAAGGAUAAAUAGAGCAUCGACAAGUAAGCAAACCAGAUUGUCUGAAGUUAUCUUUCUUUGUUUUGUGAAGAAUGGCUGACUCGACAAGAAGAUCAAACUUUCCUAUGAUGAAGAAAUACUAAAUCUUAAUCAGAUGAUUGAUGAUAAACUUGAUUAGGGGAAGUCUUUACUGUCAAUACCUUAAUAUGCUGAUAUGAGAUAAAUGAUUAAGGGAGAGUUUUUACCCUAAGUUAUCUUUAAUAUUUAUUAGUGAUUAAUUUACUCCCAGGAAAGUUGUAUCAGUCGAAGUACAUAAUGAAUUUUAUAUGUUAAAUCUUUGUAAGUAUGAUCAUAUAGUUGUGAUUAUGAUUAAAAUCUCAAAGUAAUAAAACCUCAUAUCUCGAAUCAAGGACCCUAGAUGUAGAUGUUGUAUCAUCGAACUGGAUUAACAAUGUUAUUAUAUUUUUGUACAUUUUGAUGUGUCUUUCGUUAUUAAUUAGAGGUUCUUCUAAAAGUACAGUUGUUGACUUAUAUGCAAUGUUUUAUCAUAAUAUAAUCUAUCUAGGCUUUUCUAUAUGUAUUUCGUAUCAUAUCAAAUCGUUAUUUUAUCUCAUUUCCUAGUUGCCUCCUCAAACUGAUAGAUUCUGGAAAACAACCUGACUGUCCUUCCUCCUCAAAUUGAUAGAUAGCUAAUUCAUUGUUUUUUUUAUACAGAAGUUUUUGCUUCCAAAACCUCGAUUCCCCCAUAGGGCUUUUCCUGAGUAAACAAUGUAAGUCCACAAAAAUUCGUAAGGUACGUUAGUUCCACACAAGUUAUGUAGGAAGUUGUAUCCCAAUAAUGCAGUGUUGAACCAUAAGUUGGCAUGUGUUCUUGAAGGACAAUAAUGUUCUUCGACCCAAAGUAGAGUCUGUCUCAAAACUCUAACUAUUUUCUUGAUUAUUAACAUUUUUUUAUUGUUUAUUUGUUUUGUUAAGUUAUAGUGUUCCUACACGACUGACUUUCACAGUUUUAAUAUUGGCAUAAAAAUGAUUUGUAAGGAGUCAUAACUUCUUGUUUCUUCUUCGAGAAAGUGUCGUCUGAAAGCGUAUAAAUUAAAAAUAAUCAGCCUAAUUAUAAAAUGGGAGACAAAGGAAAGGAAAAUCUAACUUCAUAUAUCUAUGAUCUACCAAUUAUUCAAGUCUAUUUUAUUGAUAAAGUAAAUGAUAUAUAAGAUGCUGAUAGGCAAGGGUAAAGAGAAGAAUUACAAAAAAAAAAAAGGUAUUUUAAUAUAAUUAUAAACAAAUAAGAUGAAAAUUAAACACUACGUAAAUUUGGCCUCUAAUAUUAACUUUUCACUGACAUUAUAGAUGUACGAUGUCGGUCAAGCCUCAUAAGUAAUCUUAUGGUAAGAUCUAUUUGAGAAAUAGUUAAAUUUUAACUUCUAAAAUCAUGAACUAAAUAUUAAACUAAAAAUGACUUAUAAUUUAGGGAAAAUUGAUUUACUAAAUAUAUAUAUAAUUGAAGGACAAAAAAACAAAAAAAAUUAGAGUAAGUUUACCUUGUAGGGCAGUGUGCAAACGUACAUUCUUGAUGAAACAGCAAGCGAUUAUUAAAGAUAAAAACACUAACGUCUUCGACAGAAGAUUUAGAACUAUAUUAAAACUCAAUACACUAGCAGAUCUGAAGCAUCCACAGCUGGCGAACGAUUUUAGACAAUGCGGGCGGCUGGAAAGUCUAAUCGAUGGCAAAACACCAGGGACUAGACAUGGUGGCUAGACAACGCACGUAUGGGGGAGCGGCUAGAUCAACGAAACCUAGUAGUGUCAUCGGUAGGAUCCACUUGCUCAUUCACUGACAAAAUGCGGCGAUGAACCUAAUCGAAGCGUCCGAAUGAAUGACCAGAUGAACGGCGACCUCGUGGUGCGACUUCAGUAAAUUGGUGUGCGGUGUGGAUAAGCGAAGCGCUCAGCUGAGAGGAGGGAGAGAUAUUUGUGCAGACUAUUGGCAGACACAAACAAAGAGCCGACUGUAACAAUGUUUCCCUUUUAACCCUAAACCCUUAAAAACAUAUAUAUAUAAAAUAAGAUAAACUUUUUCUAUAAAAAAUGUGGGUCUUUAGUGUCGAUUUUGAACUGACAUUAUAGAUAUAUAUACAACGUUAGUCUAAAACCAACAUUAAUCUUCUGGGUGGUAAUUCAUCAUCCAUUAGAUUCUAGGACAAUAUUACUAAGAAGAUACACAAGAAGCUUUAUAACUGUAAAUAUUCUUUCAUUUCAAAAGGGGCAAGAUCACUCUUAUUAAUUCGAUUCUUGAUAGCCUUCCCAUAUAUCAGAUGUCUAUCUUUACAGCUCCUAAGGGAGUAUACAAAAAUAUUGAGAAAAAUUGGAGAGACUUCCAAAGCUAUGAAAAACUUGAUGGAAACAAAGAGUUAUGGGAUGAGUUUUCAAAAUAAUGACAUUUAGGACAAAUGAGCCGAAGAAACAUCUAUUUUGCCCUUUAGUGGAUAUAAAAAUUCUAGAUCCUCCACAGCUAUCUACGUAAAAACCCAUCUCGUCAGCAAUUCAGAUUCUUGUUGAUAACGAUUACCCCAACGAUCGUGAUAUCAGAGUAGUGUGUGUGUCAGCAACGAUACUUACCUAACCGACUAGUGAUGGUGAUUAGGUACCCAAACCAAUGAGAUUAGCAUGAGGUGGAUCUCAUCGGCGGCGAAACAUGGAGAAGAAGAUAGAUAAAAAGAAAAAAGAUUGAGAGUUACAAUUUGGUGUAUGGAUGUCACUGCCUUUGAAAAGUUAGUAGGGAAAGUAAAGAUGGAAGGUCUUUUUUUAAAUAAGAAAAGUUGAUUCCGUGUGUCUGCAACAUAAGAGACGAUAGAUACUUAAAUUUUUUCUUUUACAUUUUAUUGAUUGGAAUUUCUUAUAAAUUUGUUAGUACUUAAAUAAAUCUAAAAACCUGCUUAAGUAUGUUUAAAAUCAAUUUUAUAUGUGUUUUGCAAGAUGAAAAUUUGUAACUAAAAAUUUGUUAAAUAGGUUUAUAGUCACUCUAAACUAUAUUUAAAACAUCUCAAACAUGUAGAAAAUUUAUUGGUUAGAAAGUUUCACUUUUCGGGAUAGUGAGAUAUCAUUGUUCAAACAAUAAGAGAGUUACAUAUUGAAACUAAUAAGAUUUAUACUUCUUAUAAAAUAGAUGAACUACUCAUCUCAUUGUCAAUUGAUUUUAAGAUGGAACUCUCAUACUAGCUAAAAACUUUCGAUACAAAAUGUGUAGCUAAAAAUUUCUUAAAACAUGGAUAUAAUCAUCCUAAAUUAAAAAGAAAAUAAAAAGUGAUUUAGGUUUAUACGUUUAAGCCUAAGGGCAUAAAACAAUAAAAAAAAAAAUGAAAACAUCUUAUGAUAGUUAGUUAUAUGUAAUUUUUUGUAUAUUAACGACUGUCAUGAAAUGUCACGAAUUUAUAUAAUUUGACAUAUUUUGUUUGUCAAGAACAUGCCUAACCAAGUCUAUCAUUGAAUGUCAAUAAUAUGUCUAGCAUAACUAUAAUUGAAUGUCAAUAAUUUUUUUUAAAAAAAAAAAUCAAAUAUCAUAUACUUCUGUAUUACCACUUUUUUAUUUUUUUACAAUCAUAUGAAAAUACAUUAAUGGAAGUCAUUAUUUCUUGCAGCUCUACCAUUACACAAACCAGUUCAAUUAUAAAGUACUUAUCCAUAUGAAAACAAGUAACCAUUUUUGGUAAAGGAUUUACAAGAAUCUACAUGGACAUGUGGUAGACAGAUAGACAUAUAGGUGUGUGCAUAAACAUAAAAUAAAAUACUACAAACUUCUUGUUUUAUUCACUCAUCUUGAAGUUGUAUAGUCAAUGUUACAUUUUUUUUCCCGACAAAUAUGGAAUUAGUUUCUUUUUUUUUAAAGACAGAUAAAAGAUCUUUUAUAUUGAAAUAAAGAUAAAAUAUCUUCCAUAUUUAGGGCUCUUUUCUCUUUUUAUUUGAGAAAAAAAUAAAAGAUCUUCUUUUAUAUUUUAAAAAAAGAUAAAAGAUUUUCCUUAUCUUUAGGGAUCUUUUCUAAAUAUCUUUUAUCUUUUAUCUUUUAUCUUUUUAAAAAGAAUUGUUAUGUGCAAGUGAUCGUAGAUACACACCGAGUGCGAUUGUACAAGAACAUCUCUUAUCAUGCAAAUGACCCACAGAAACACCCCUUCUUGUGUGGGUGAUCGUAGGUACACACUCCAUAAACAUGUUCGUAAUACGAAGGUACACUCUUUAUUGUGUAAGUGGGUUCCGUCGAAACACCCUUUAUUGUGAGAGUGUCGCGUAUAUACAAUAAAACUAUCCCCUAACAAAUGAUAUGUGAUCUGUAGGCACACCCCUAAAUCGUGUGAGUGCCCCUUAGAUAGAAUCACCUUACAGGUGGGGUAAAAAGCUCAACAUACAAAGUUAACAGAUACACCAUAGUCCAAAAGUAUGUAAUAAUCAACACAUCAUGACAUAAAUCAUCAAUCAUAGCAGUCCAUAAAACAAAACAAUCCAUAAAGCAUGAAAUCCAUAAAUCAUGCUUAAUCAUCAUGUAACGUCAGUCAACAACUAUAACAUCUCAUUAUGCAUUUUCAGCUACUAUUAAUGCAUAAUCACAAAACACAUAUGCAACUCUUAAAAUUGAGUUCGAAGGUCUAGUAGUAGAAUCUCUUACAUGAGAGAUUAGUUAACAAAUAAUCUCUAGCUAACAGUAAAAAUUCUCCAAUUAAUUCAAUUCUUAGUUAUGCUAAGUUUGUUGCUACAAACGAAACCACAAUUACCGUAGCUUACCAAACUUACCUAAACGGAGGUUGAAAAAUUCUCUCAACCUUGAUAAAAAGAUUUAUCACUUAAUCUUUUGACAAAGGAACCUAAGUUACCAAACUUAACUAAAUGUGGUGGGAUGAGGGAGUGAGAGUUAUUUCAGUGAAAUGAUGAAAACUCUUUUCUUUUUCCUUUUCUUUUCAAUUAAUUAAGUAAUCCAAUAAUGUUAUUUAUAAACCAAAAUAAUAAUAAUAAUAAUAACCACAUAUAUAUAUAUAUAUAUAUAUAUAUAUAUAUAUAUAUAAUAACCAAAAUAUAUAAUAAAAUAUAUAAUAACCACAUAUAUUUAUUCAAACUCUUAUUCCAUAAUCUAACUAAAUCUAUCAUUUUUUUUCUAAUCAAACCAACCAUGUUUUUCCUUAUUAAUUAUCUUAUUUUCCAAUAAUUAUAAUUAUAUUUCACGAUAGAAUUAACUUUACUUUUUUAUAUUAAUUAUUUAUAUAAAAUCAAAUAAUUAAUAUCACAUUCCACCCAAAAAAAUUUCUUAAAUAAAUAUAUAUAUUCUUAAUUAAUUCCAAUUUGGAACCAACUUUUCUUUGAGAAGCUCAAAUUCUCAAUUCUUUUUAAUUAACUAAGUCUUCUCCAAUAAAUCACGUAUUUUAAAUUUUCAUGAAUUCCAACAUGAAAUAUGAAAUUCAAUAAUUCAAUUUACCUCGAGAUAACUUCCAAAUAAUUUGAGACAAUCCUCCCUAAAAUUUUGGGAUGCUACAUUUUUAUUUUUCCAAUAAUUAUAUUUCGAUAUAUAAUUAUCAAUUUUUUUUAAAAUAAAUUUUAUUCAUUAUCUUUCCUUAUUCAACCAAUCAUAUCAACAUCUCUUCUCAAUCAAUAUUUAUAAUUAAUUAUUUUUCAUAAUAAUUACUUUUAACAAAUAAAAUAAUCUUUGCACUUUUCCAUAAUAAUUAUUUAUAUAAGUAUAUACAUUUAACUAUAAUUCUACCGACACCCAAAUUCACUAGUUAAAUAAAUAUUCACUCAAAGGAAUAUUUAAUAAAUUCCAAUUUCAACUUAACCAAUUAAUUCUCUUUCCAAAUAACUCAAAAUAACACCCAAUAAACUCAAACAUAAUUAAACAAAAUUAAGAUAAUUAAAUUAAAAUUACCUAAAUUUAUGGGCGUUAGAGGGAGUUCUCUAGACGUAGAUGGAUUCAUCGAACUGGGUUAACAAUUAAAGUUAUUUGUGCUGUCUGUAUUAUUUAUCUUUUUUGUUCCUUUAGUUAUUCCUCUAGUUGUUAGUUAAAGUAGUAGCUACAAAAAAAUCAUACUAUCUUAUUUUUAACCGUCAAUUAGAUGAUAAACAUAAAUCAAGAAGAAUGAGCUUCAUUGCAUCUGUUAAGUAAUAUAUAUCGAGUGUAUGUGAUAUUAAAGGGUAUUGGGUUUGAGGGAGGGCUAAAACAUUUAGAUUAAGGCUUCAUUACAAGUGUUCACGUUUAGAGCGCCAUAACAAUACUCUAUGCGAUUUACACAAAAUUUGUGUUCUCUGCCUUGCAGCGUGCCUAGUUUAGCACAACUAUGCUCUAAUGGUAAUUUGGCCUUUUGAUCUUUUUGGAUUGAUGCAAUUAAACUUUGUAAUUUUUUACCGUUUUAGCUUCCAUUUGUCAAUAACACCCGGGUUCCACUCUUUGGGUGGUCAAAAGUUAUGAAAAUGAUCAAAUAAACAUGUAAAAUCGAGAAAUGAUCUCAAAUGAAGCAGAAAAUAAGAUAGGCAUUAGUGUUAGAAACUACCCCUUGUGGAUAGAACAAACUACUCCUAUUUGAAGGCUCACUACCUUUUAUCUCAAAUCUAUUGGUAAUAAAAUUACCUUGAAAAUCAGUUGUUAUGGGGUUGGACUAUGACUAAUAGAUAUAAUUAUUAGCCAUUUUGAUUCAUAAAGUUUGAAGAAACUUCAUGCUCCUGUUUUUAGUUUUUAAUCUUCUUCCCUAUUUAAUUUUCUUCUCAGUUCUCUCUAUACUUAAUUUUAUAUAUAGUUGAUUUAUGUUAUUCUAUAAAUUGAUAUUUUAAUUUAAAAAAGAUAAAUUGUAGAAAUGUAUAAGCUACGACUACUAAUCACACCGAUAUACCAAAUUAACAUUAAUUUUACUAAAAACAGAAAACUCAAAUAACUAUAUGUUGUUAUACUAAAUAUAUAUGCACUAGCUAGUCUACCAAUUAGUCAAAUUCGUUAACAAUAGAGAUUACAAUUGUAUUAAAAAAAAAAGGUGUUAAUUUGGGUAUACUAAUCCUACCAACACGCUCAAAACCAAUUAAUCUUUCUGUAGUACAUCAUCAACAAUAUAUAUCAAAAUUUUAAUCUAUCAAAUAUCAAUGAAUAAACAUUAGUACAAAAGUAUUAGUUAAUUUAAUACAGUUAUGAGAUAUAUCAAUUAAUAAACAUAUUAAAUAUCUAGUCCGUCAACAAACUAUCAUACUGUUAGAUAUCAGUGAAGAAUAAUUUUAAAUAGUCUACAGGUGUUUUCGAUAGUAUAUAUCAUAUAUAUAAGAUAUAAGAGUAUUGAUCACAAUCAACACAAAUAUACCUAAAGUACGUAAGACAUAACUGUAUCAAUAAUAUAUCUAACACCAAUUAAAAUUAAAGUAUUGUAUCAGUAUGUUAGAUAAACAACAUGUUUUUAUAUAUUGAUAAAUAUAAGUAAACACGUAUGACAACAUUAGUUUAAUUUCAUAAUAGCUUGCCAAAUUACAUGAAAAUAAAAGAUGAAGAAGAGUAUAGUGUAAUGGUUAAGAUAUAUGCAUAUCUAUGUACCUUCAACUCUAGGGUUGACGGUCUUUCAAUCCUAACCUCCAAACUUCGGCUUCAAACUUAUGGAACUUAAAAAACAUAGGUGCAGACAUAAAAUAAAGUAUUACAACUUCUUAUUUUAUUCUCUCAUUUUGAAGUUGUACAGACUGAAUUAGACGAUUAGAGUUCAAUUAUUGCAUGUGUUAACCAAUAUAUCGAGCAUGGCCUCAACGGAUGUGUUGACAGAGAUUGGAUUAAUAUCUACUGCAAGAUCUAGGGCCAAGUUUAAACAAAUCUUAGCAUUAGUAGCUACUAGCCCUUGAAUCAAAUCACAACAUGGACGUACGGGUUCCUGAGAGCCAGCGGAUACAGUAAUAAAACCAAUUACACUUGCACACGCACUUACAUUGCCGGAGCAAUUGGUGGUCGGGCUCGACUCUGGUACAAUUGGUUGAGCAAUGGCAAGAGAAGAGAAGAGAAUUAGGUUGAGACAGAAGAAGAGAGCAAGUGAAAAGGAUUUGUCGGAGGAAGACAUUUUUCUUUUCUUUUUUUUUUUUUUUUGAAGAGAAGAAGAAAAGUGAAACUGUUUGGAGUGAAAUGGUUUUUGUUUAUGAAGUAGGGAUGGAGAAUAAAGUGUUGUGAUGGAAGGGUUUUUAUAGGAAGAAAUGUGGAUGGUUAAAUUAUGGUAAUUAGGAUAUGAGUUUUAAUUAUAAACCCAACUUGGAUAUGCUUUCAAAAUUCAACUAUAUAUCAAAAUUAAAUAAUGUGUUAAUAUUCAACUUCCUAACCCUACACUACCAAUAUAAUUUUGUGCUUUAAAACGGUUAAAGUACUCUCUCCCAUUUUUUUAUUUUAUUUAAUUGGCAUCUAAUUGUGUUCUCCCCUUCCUUUUCUUGAUUGAUAUUAUGGUUUUGAUUUUGAAUAAUUGCAUCAAUUGGAUACACACAGCUUUUAAGGUAUAUUUUUAGAAAUAAUGUCUCAAAAUAACUUUAUUUUUAUUUAGGUCUUUUGUUAUUUUAUCUCACUCCUAAUUAGUUAUGAUUAUUUUAACUGCGUUGUUUUUAAUUAGGGGAUUUGCA